UCCGCGCGAUCCGACUGUGAUUUGAGAAAUGGCGGCGACGAAGUACAAGUAUCUGGUAGAAGUGGAGAAGGCCAAGGAGGCCAAGGACGGCAAGCCGUCGCAGGGACCUGUGUACCGGAGCCUGUUCGCCAAGGAUGGCUUUCCACCUGCGAUUUCCGGAAUGGACAGUUGCUGGGAUGUUUUCCGCGGGUCAGUAGAGAAAAAUCCCAGAAACCCCAUGCUUGGUCGUCGGGAGAUUGUGAAUGGGAAGGCUGGUAAAUAUGUGUGGCUAACUUAUAAGGAAGUGUAUGACAUGGUAGUCAAAGUUGGAAAUGCCAUGCGCGGUUGUGAUGUGGUUGAAGGAGACAAGUGUGGUAUAUAUGGUGUCAACUGCCCGGAAUGGAUUAUGAGCAUGGAGGCUUGCAAUGCUCAUGGACUCUAUUGCGUGCCUUUAUAUGACACUCUAGGUGCUGGUGCUGUGGAAUUUAUCAUAUGCCAUGCUGAAGUUUCAAUUGCUUUUGCUGAAGAAAAGAAGAUACCUGAGCUGUUGAAAAUAUUUCCUGGUGCGGCAAAAUAUCUGAAAACACUUGUGAGCUUUGGCAAUGUUACACCUGAACAAGAGGAAACACUUGGGCAGUAUGGAGUGACGUUAUAUUCAUGGAGUGAAUUUCUGCAAUUGGGAGAGAAUAAAGAGUAUGACCUUCCAGUAAAAAAAAAAGUGAUGUCUGCACUAAAAUGUAUACUAGUGGAACAACUGGUGACCCCAAGGGAGUACUGAUAUCCAAUGAAAGCAUCAUUACUCUUCUGGCUGGGGUGAAGCUUUUGCUAGAGAGUGUAAAUGAACAGCUCAGUGAGGAGGAUGUAUAUCUUUCAUUUCUUCCCCUGGCACAUAUCUUCGAUCGGGUGAUUGAGGAGUUAUUUAUCUGGACUGGCGCCCAA
Molecule: long non-coding RNA, 918 nt
Filed under: Malus domestica (apple)
Lineage: Eukaryota; Viridiplantae; Streptophyta; Magnoliopsida; Rosales; Rosaceae
Description: long non-coding RNA (MDOM_LNC002181)
Source: RNAcentral